RNAcentral lists this ribosomal RNA (406 nucleotides) under uncultured bacterium. RNAcentral's name for it is "partial 16S ribosomal RNA". It matches the Rfam family "Bacterial small subunit ribosomal RNA", at positions 30 to 526 of the family's 1533-position model. The record is from RNAcentral.
AUUGAACGCUGGCGGCAGGCCUAACACAUGCAAGUCGAACGAGUGGCGGACGGGUGAGUAAUGUCUGGGAAACUGCCUGGUGGAGGGGGAUAACUACUGGAAACGGUAGCUAAUACCGCAUACCAUCAGAUGUGCCCAGAUGGGAUUAGCUAGUUGGUGGGGUAACGGCUCACCAAGGCGACGAUCCCUAGCUGGUCUGAGAGGAUGACCAGCCACACGGGAACUGAAACACGGUCCAGACUCCUACGGGAGGCAGCAGUGGGGAAUAUUGCACAAUGGGCGAAGGCCUGAUGCAGCCAUGCCGCGUGUAUGAAGAAGGCCGUCGGGGUGUAAAGUACUUUCAGCGGGGAGGCGUUACCCGCAGAAGAAGCACCGGCUAACUACGUGCCAGCCGCCGCGGUAAUUC